RNAcentral lists this long non-coding RNA (199 nucleotides) under Elaeis guineensis (African oil palm). RNAcentral describes it as "long non-coding RNA (EGUI_LNC074214)". Lineage: Eukaryota; Viridiplantae; Streptophyta; Magnoliopsida; Arecales; Arecaceae. The record is from RNAcentral.
GAAUAUAAUACUGAGAAUAGUCUGCCAUGGACAGAAACAUGGUACUGAGAAUAGUCCUGCCACGAGCAGGAAUGUGGGAUUUAGAAUAGCCCUAUCACGAUAGAAAUGUAGUGCUUGAGUUUACCAAUCACAUGCUAGAGUGUGAUUGCGAUUAGACCAAAAUUCUAAAGAUAACUAUUGAUUGAUUCAGAUCAUAGUA